This 460-nucleotide ribosomal RNA is filed under the name uncultured bacterium. Its description in RNAcentral is "partial 16S ribosomal RNA". It matches the Rfam family "Bacterial small subunit ribosomal RNA", at positions 338 to 795 of the family's 1533-position model. The record is from RNAcentral.
CCUACGGGAGGCAGCAGUGAGGAAUAUUGGUCAAUGGACGAGAGUCUGAACCAGCCAAGUAGCGUGAAGGAUGACUGCCCUAUGGGUUGUAAACUUCUUUUAUAUGGGAAUAAAAUGUUCCACGUGUGGGAUUUUGUAUGUACCAUAUGAAUAAGGAUCGGCUAACUCCGUGCCAGCAGCCGCGGUAAUACGGAGGAUCCGAGCGUUAUCCGGAUUUAUUGGGUUUAAAGGGAGCGUAGGUGGCUUGUUAAGUCAGUUGUGAAAGUUUGCGGCUCAACCGUAAAAUUGCAGUUGAAACUGGCAGGCUUGAGUGCAGUAGAGGUAGGCGGAAUUCGUGGUGUAGCGGUGAAAUGCUUAGACAUCACGAAGAACUCCGAUUGCGAAGGCAGCUCACUGUACUGCAACUGACACUGAGGCUCGAAAGUGUGGGUAUCAAACAGGAUUAGAUACCCUUGUAGUC